AUGCGUGAUCAGGUCGGCAUCGACCUGGACGGCUUCCCCCUCGACCACGAGUUCCCGAAGGACUAUGGGCUAAAGGAAGAGGACGAGUGCGACAUCGAAGUGGAGCCUUUGUUUGAGGACGAGCUCGCCAAUCAAACCGCCGGUCCUAAGCCGAAGCGUAAGAGCAAGCGCACGAAGGCGUACACAGCUGCCGAUGACAAGCUUCUUUGCGAGUGUUGGCGAGACAUUGGACAAGACCCAAAGACGGGCGCCGAGCAAAAGCAUUCGACCUUUUGGACUCGUGUGCACCGCGAGUUUCAUGAGCGCAAGAAGUUUCCACCUUACCAAUUUGUGAGCACGCGCGGGUGGGUCUCCAUUUUCAAGCGGUGGAGGGUGAUCCAACAAGAGUGCAACAAGUUUUGCGCCACCCUUGAGAGUGUCAAGGCCCGCCCCGUGAGCGGCAUCGGCGUGCAAGACAUGUAUGAUAGCAAGCAAGCCGCCCUCUUUUGUGCCAAGAUCAUCCUUUUACGUCUUCAUUUGCUAUCACUUGCCCAUUUGCUUGCAUGGAAAACAUUUUAUAGGCAUUUCAAACUUUGGAGGCAUUCAAGGUUCAACAUAAUGGCAAGUGCUUCAACCUCUCCCAUUGCUAUCGGGUCAUCAAAGACAAAGAGAAGUUCAAGGCACAAUAUGCCGCACUCAAGGCACGUGGGGGGAAGGGCGUCGUGGAGGAUGUUGGGGAGGGUGAGCCGGCACGGCCGCGGGGGAAGACCAACUCCAAGAAGUAGGACAAGCGAGAUGCGGCCACCAACGCCUUGA
This 795-nucleotide ribosomal RNA is filed under the name Triticum aestivum (bread wheat). Its description in RNAcentral is "partial small subunit ribosomal RNA". Lineage: Eukaryota; Viridiplantae; Streptophyta; Magnoliopsida; Poales; Poaceae. The record is from RNAcentral.